RNAcentral lists this unclassified non-coding RNA (316 nucleotides) under plant metagenome. Its description in RNAcentral is "partial contains 5.8S ribosomal RNA, internal transcribed spacer 2, and large subunit ribosomal RNA". The stretch from base 1 to 105 matches the Rfam family "5.8S ribosomal RNA", at positions 50 to 154 of the family's 154-position model. The record is from RNAcentral.
GAAAUGCGAUAACUAGUGUGAAUUGCAGAAUUCCGUGAAUCAUCGAGUCUUUGAACGCACAUUGCGCCCCCUGGUAUUCCGGGGGGCAUGCCUGUCCGAGCGUCAUUGCUGCCCAUCAAGCACGGCUUGUGUGUUGGGUCGUCGUCCCCCCUCCGGGGGGGACGGGCCCCAAAGGCAGCGGCGGCACCGCGUCCGAUCCUCGAGCGUAUGGGGCUUUGUCACCCGCUCUGUAGGCCCGGCCGGCGCUUGCCGAACGCAAAUCAAUCUUUUUCCAGGUUGACCUCGGAUCAGGUAGGGAUACCCGCUGAACUUAAGC